Molecule: ribosomal RNA, 436 nt
Filed under: uncultured bacterium
Lineage: Bacteria
Description: bacterial SSU rRNA
Rfam family: Bacterial small subunit ribosomal RNA
Source: RNAcentral
UGGGGAAUUUUGGACAAUGGGGGAAACCCUGAUCCAGCAACUCUGCGUGGAGGACGAAGUCUCUCGGGAUGUAAACUCCUUUUCCAGGGGACGAAUAGGCGCAAGCCUUUGACGGUACUCUGGGAAUAAGCAACGGCUAACUACGUGCCAGCAGCCGCGGUAAGACGUAGGUUGCGAGCGUUAUUCGGAUUCACUAGGCGUAAAGCGUGUGUAGGCGGAUGCCUAAGUCUGUUGUGAAAUCUCCCGGCUCAACUGGGAGAGGUCAACGGAUACUGGGCGUCUUGAAUUGGGUAGGGGGAACCGGAAUUCCUGGUGUAGCGGUGAAAUGCGCAGAUAUCAGGAGGAACACCGGCGGCGAAGGCGGGUUCCUGGGCCUUAAUUGACGCUGAGACACGAAAGCUAGGGGAGCAAACAGGAUUAGAUACCCCCGUAGUCC